Long non-coding RNA from Anopheles coustani, 492 nucleotides. RefSeq lists it as uncharacterized. NCBI's taxonomy places the organism in Eukaryota, Metazoa, Arthropoda, Insecta, Diptera, Culicidae. The record is from RefSeq and is a predicted model, not a curated record. The transcript is spliced from 4 exons.
AACAUUCUAACAGUUUAGUGUUUCAUCGCUCACUAUGAAGCGUUUUUUACAUCGUUAUUAAAAGCAUAGUGAAAUUUUCCUUGUCGAAAAUGGGGCGGGCAAUGGCAUGUCAUUGCGGAAAAGGCAACAUCACACCUGCAGCAUCAAUUUGAUUGCAUGUGGGAAGUGCUUGCCCCCUGAACAAUAUUCUACGAAAUUUGGUUACGUCAUGCAAGGAACGAGAAAAAACGAGAACAGUUGUGUAAAGUGUGAAUUGUUUCCGAUACGGUUGUUCCUCUGAUUGCCAGUGAUGAAAUCGAUUUUGUUAAGUAUGAUUCAAUACGGUGUUUGAAAUAGAUACGGUGUUAGAAAUUUGAUGCAGAUUUAAUCAAUCGUUAGUGCAUAAUCUGUUUUGCUGUGCAAUUAAGUUCAAUGAAGAGAAUGCAGCGAACGUGGGGGCUCAAUAAGAGUUAGUACUUCCAGUCAGAGAUCAGAUAAGUAUUUUAUUGAACC